GAUUCCCUUUCACAGCACCUCCUCUCUCUCUCCCCUGUAGCGCCUCCUCAUGCUGUUGGCUGGCUUGACCGUUCCUUGCCCCUCUCUCUUUGCCGCACCUUCCCAAAUUUCUGAUGUCGAUGCAAGCAGUUAAUUCUUCAACAAGCUGUCUAUUCCGCCUUCCUUCCUCACCCCCUCACUCCCAUCCCCUUCUGCUUCUCUGCACAGGCGAUGUAGCGGAUCGCGGACACUUUGCUGGCGGCGGCAGCUCCACGAAGUUGGCGCUGCCCGGUCAUUGGGUGAAGGGGUGGCGCGGCCGGUGGUGGCCGCGAAUAAUGCCGCGGCGAGGUUGAGGGAUUCUCGCGAGCCACGCCCCCUUCCCGUGGUCGGAUGCUCUUUUCUCUGAUCCGAUCUUCCUCUAUUUUUUCCAUGGUCUACAUCAGCUCUAUCCCUGGGCGAGAUCGAGCCCUGGGCGAGGCACGCAUGCCGUAAGAAGAAGUUCCCCCUCCUUGGCCCCUCCGAUCUAACGGACCUGGGCGCCGCCUGUUGUUUCUCUUUGACGAUUUCGAGCAAUUAGGGAUGAUAUAUGUGGGAAUUGUACCCAAAGGAGUUGGUCUAUAUAUAGUCGGAUUUGCGAGGAAAGGGGGCAAGAAAUUUAAACAGAAAUCCAUUGGAUCUGAUUUGUUGUUUCGAAUCCGGGACGGAGGACGAAGGAAA
Lolium perenne is the source of this 696-nucleotide long non-coding RNA. RefSeq lists it as uncharacterized. The record is from RefSeq and is a predicted model, not a curated record. NCBI's taxonomy places the organism in Eukaryota, Viridiplantae, Streptophyta, Magnoliopsida, Poales, Poaceae.